RNAcentral lists this ribosomal RNA (119 nucleotides) under Helianthus annuus (common sunflower). Lineage: Eukaryota; Viridiplantae; Streptophyta; Magnoliopsida; Asterales; Asteraceae. The record is from RNAcentral.
GGUUGCGAUCAUACCAGCACUAAUGCACCGGAUCCCAUCAGAACUCCGCUGUUAAGCGUGCUUGGGCGAGAGUAGUACUAGGAUGGGUGACCCCCUGGGAAGUCCUUGUGUUGCAACCC